This 35-nucleotide ribosomal RNA is filed under the name Daniellia ogea. RNAcentral describes it as "partial 18S ribosomal RNA". Lineage: Eukaryota; Viridiplantae; Streptophyta; Magnoliopsida; Fabales; Fabaceae. The record is from RNAcentral.
UUCCGUAUGUGAACUGCGGAAGGAUCAUUGCCGGU